Molecule: ribosomal RNA, 496 nt
Filed under: uncultured bacterium
Lineage: Bacteria
Description: partial 16S ribosomal RNA
Rfam family: Bacterial small subunit ribosomal RNA
Source: RNAcentral
GAUGAACGCUGGCGGCGUGCCUAAUACAUGCAAGUCGAGCGAAAAGACGAGGAGCUUGCUCCUCUGACGUUAGCGGCGGACGGGUGAGUAACACGUGGAUAACCUCCCUAUAAUACUGGUAUAACUUCGGGAAACGGGAGCUAAUAGCGGAUAAUAUCUUGAACCACAUGGUUCAUUGGUGAAAGACGGUUUUGGGGUCACUUAUAGAUGGAUACGCGCCUCAUUGGCUAGUUGGUAGGUUAACAGCUUACCGAGGCAACGAUGCCUAACCGAGCUGUGAGCGGGUACCGCCACUCGGGAGGUGAGACGCGACCCAGACACUGACGUGAGGCAGCAGCAGCUACGCUUCGCCAAAGGGCGAAAGCCUGACGGAUCAACGCCGCGUGAGUGCUGAAGGUCCGCGGAUCGGAAAACUCUGUUAUGGGUGAAGAACAAAUGUGUAAGUAACUAUGCACGUCUGAACGUAACCUAAACAGAAAGCCACGCCUAAUUACUU